Long non-coding RNA from Leopardus geoffroyi (Geoffroy's cat), 328 nucleotides. RefSeq lists it as uncharacterized. The transcript is spliced from 2 exons. The record is from RefSeq and is a predicted model, not a curated record. NCBI's taxonomy places the organism in Eukaryota, Metazoa, Chordata, Mammalia, Carnivora, Felidae.
GCUGGGACUCCCGGGCAGCGAGUCGCCGGCGCCACCGCCGUUCGGGAGGCCGUUGAAGGCGGCCGCCGCCGGCCCUAGAGAGGGCUCGGACUCAGCCGCCGCUGCGUCGCCGGGCCACCCCCGAAGCUCCUGACCUCCACCGCGUAGCUCAAGGGAGCAGCCCCGGCAUGGAGAGCAAAAUCAGCUUCAAGAAGCACUUUGCAAGUCUGCAAGACUGGGUUGCACGUUCACUCUUGCAUUGAUUGGUUCAUUAUGUAUUUACUGAGUGCUCAGCCCUGUGCUCCUUUUGAUGCCUGGAGAUGAGCUGAAUAAAAUGUACCACAGUUGA